UAAAUUUUAGUGUCAGUCAUUUUGGCUGGAUCGAGAAAUUUGAGUGAUCGAUAUUCAAUUCAUUUUCUAAUUUUAGUGAAAAAUUUAAUCCAUGCUUUGUUAUUAUACAUGUAAUUGGUAUUGUAUGAUUUAUUCUAUUUUUUUCUUUAACAGAAAAUGAAGGUAUAGUAGCUGACAUAUAGUGUACAUGUACCACUUGAAGAUUUGUCCCCCUUGUUGAUACAAGAAAUGCAAAGUGUACACAGAUACAUACACAUAAAAGGAGACAUCACCUCAUGAUCUGUGGAUCCAUUGAAAACUUUAAGGACAAAACUUUUGAUAAUUCAUUCAUGUAUAGAGUGUUGACUCGAAUAUUGAAUAUCUAAUGAAUGGAACCAAGAGAAUUAAUUUAAGAAGUAUUAUAUUGUAUAUUACUCUUUUUAUUCAUCUGUCAAAUUUCUUAAUUAAAAAUUAAACUUAAA
Long non-coding RNA from Saccostrea echinata, 461 nucleotides. RefSeq lists it as uncharacterized. Lineage: Eukaryota; Metazoa; Mollusca; Bivalvia; Ostreida; Ostreidae. The transcript is spliced from 2 exons. The record is from RefSeq and is a predicted model, not a curated record.